GAAGGAUCAGCCAGCGACCGCCUACCCGCUCCUGCGCAGGCGUCGAUCUCGCUCGCACAGCAGUGCGCAGAUGUGGAGCGCGUGCACCUGCGUGCUGGGUACAAUGAAGCCUCGGCGGAACUUUAUUCCCCAGCCCUGACCCUGAUGUCUCUUGUGGGCUCCGCUUCCGGGUUGGAGAGUGAGAAGCGAGGGAAACCGGGACGGCGCUUGGAGGGUGUGGCGUGGGGCGGGGCCGAGAGAGGCUUUCCCGAGAGUGCAAUCACAGCUUCUGAUUGCGACAGAAUAAGGUGUGGAAAAGACAUUGACAUGACUGAACUGAACUGAAGGGGAAAGGCCAGGAGAGGACAGAGAUUGAUCAGCACAGAGCAAGGAAGAUUGCAGAGUCAAGAAGAGAACCCAGGUUUCGUAAGUCCCAGUCUAGUGGUUUAUUCACUUGGCUAUGCUUCCUCUCUAAAGCAAUCUAGCAGAAGAUGAUUAAAGAACUAGAAAAUGAAACCAUGGUGGCAGAUAAGAUCAUUCCAUGGCAGGGUAUAUAGAAAGAAGAGAGAACCAAGGACAGAGCUUUGAAGGAUGCCAUUGGAAAAAGAAAGAUCCUGCUUAGAAAUGAAAGAGUGUUUGAGGAAGGAAUCAAAGGAAGAGAAAAAUCAUUGGUGUUUGUAGGCAUUUGAGUCAAUCGACAUGAAGAAAUAAAGGAAAGAUGUAAAGGAAGAUGGCAGAAUGGAAUGGAGAAUACAUGUGUAGUGGAGAAAUUCCAUUAAUUAUCAUAUUUAAGUUCAAUGUAUAUAAUUAUAAUUUUACAGUAGUAGCUAAUUAAAACAUCCACCGCUAUGGUAUUCUCCAGAUAGCACCCUUUUUACUUAAAAAAACAAACACACACACAAAAUGAAUAAAAAUAAAUGUUUUCAGUAAAAGCAAAAUUAGGGAGACCACACAAACAAAACCACCAUGUGGGUAUUUUAUGAGGUGUUCUGUACCUCUCAGAAAGUGUGCCUCUUUAGGUCCAGGGUAGAAACAGGUGGAUGGGUAUUUUACAAGGGAUGACCAAUACCCAUCAGAAUGUGCAGUUGUAGAUUGCUUUUGCCAGGAAUAAAAAUGACUGACUGGCUGGCACAUGCUCAAUUUAGGCAAACCACCCCUUGCCACACGUGGCAUAAAAGGCAGUAAGAUUUGUCAGCCAUAUUAGGUAUGGGCAAAUGUGGCCAUUUUAGUGGCCAUCUUAGUUAAGGUCAGGAAGCCCAUAGAAUUUUAUGGAUGACUGCCAUCAUAGUUAAUGGCAAUAUGGCCACACUGUAUGACCAUAUUGGAUGAAGGAAAUGGAAGGGAGGGCACAAUCACAUUUCUCUUCCUAGGCAAUUGGUGUUUAUUUGAGGCCAAUGGAAUGAAGUAGCAGUUGAGUCAUGUCCACACCUGCCUAACUUCCUGGCCUAAGUGUCUCAGGAUAUCGGAGUUUCUCAGGUCCUAAGGAUUGCCUCAAAAUCUCAGCAUCUUUUGCUGCAGUGGCCCCCAUGAAUUCCAAAUUAACUGUAAUCAUUCAGGGAAAAGAUCUUGGUGUUAUGAGCAACUCAGUGGAAAGAUCUGAUUAUUGAACAGUGGUGAUCAAAAAGGCAAACAAAUUAUUUGGAUGUGUAAUGAAGAGGUAUUCACACUGGAAGUUGUGAGCAUUGUCUGGGAGUCAUAACCACCCUGCCUUUCUCAAACUGCAAAGUGGGAGGGGACUACGACUUGAUCCUAGCUAAAUGUGUGGGGUGCUGCUGACAUGCAGGUCCUGAUAUGGAAAAUUGACUUGCAGUAUAGAAAAGAUUCAGAACUCCUGGUGUAAGAAUGAUGUAGAAAAUAAUAUGAUAGUGCUAUUAUAUAAACCAGUAGUACACACUCACCUGGAACAAUGGUCAGCCAAUGUCAAGUGAGACACAGCAGAAACAGGGGGCUCCAGAGACCGGCAAUUAAAUUGAAUAGCAGCAUGGAGAGACUUCCUUAUGGAAAAAGAUGAAAAGAAUAGGAUUUAAAUUUAGAGAGGAGCUGGAUAAGGCCCCAAUCUCUCAAAUACUUACACGUGUUUAUUUUACAUCAGUGGUGCCUGCUUACUGUAUCUGAGAGUCUGCAUCUCUUCUAGUGUGCUGCUUUUGAAGCAAUGGUAACCGGUGGAUUCUAAAGAGACAGAUAGUAGGACAAUGUUUUCCAUGAGGGGCCCUAAUUCUGGAACUCACUCCUCACCCUGGUUUAUCAGGUGCUGUUUUUUGUUUGUUAGUUUUGAUCUCGGUGAUUUUUUAAAUUUUGUUUUACUCUUCCACACAUACUGCAAGUUCCAUCUAGAUUUGCAAGUAUUUGAGGAGAGAUCGGUUUGAAAAAUGUGAUGAUUGUAUGCGGGAGGUUGUUUUGGUAAGGUAAUUUGGAAGUUUGUAGUAGAGCUGUGAAUUGACAGAGAUCUGCAUCCUAGUCCAAUACUUUUACAAGACUAACUUUCCUCAAACCCAAGCUAUACACUGCCAAACUGUCACAAAAGAAAGCAUUAUUGCAGGGUAACAGGCAAAUACAUUUCCUGUGAACCAUAUUACAGAUAAUCUGCAUGUUCAAACAAGAAUGUUUUGUUCACAAAAAUCUUCUGAUAUCCACUAGAGGGUUGGAGGGAGAUGUGGGCAAUUGAAAAUAUUUAAUAUGUGUGGAAAGUAUACUAUCUUUAUUGUAAAAAGUCUCCUUUUUGCUGCUAUGAUGCAGUGAUUGGAAACUUAAUCAAUCUUUUCUUAGGUAGCAGAAGUGCUUUCACAAAAUUAAUUAAUGAAGGGGAAACAGCAUUAUGACAUUUUGGUCACCCCCUCUGUCAUUGUUGAAAUGUUCCUGUUGCAGUAAUUAGUAGAGUAGCUAGUAUUAUUUGAAUGCAUGGUAAUUCAAGCCUUCAGAGUGUCUAUGGGUGCAAAUGAAGUAGUAGCAAAGCAUAUCAGUUCUGAAUUAUGCAAUGAUCCAGUCUGAAUCCCUGAAGAGCUUUUUGUCUGAGAGCUGUACAACACAGAUGCAUGGCCUACAAAUAUGUUCUGUAGUAGGCUGUCACUUUCUUUGCUGAUGCAUUGGAAAUAUAUGAUGAAAGAACAUGUCCCCAGAAUGCUAAUCUUUGGUUGGUUGCAGUGACAGAGAAAUAUUUACUAAUGGGUUAUUUGCUAUUUUAAUGGUUGGCGUUGCUGAUAAAGGGCCAGAUUUUACUUGGCGUUUGUGCAGAUAAGUAUGUGUUGGGGAAGUCAAGAAGCCUGUCACAAAUGCAAUACAUCGAAGGACUGGUCUACACUUAAAAGUUUCACCAGUACAGUUAUUGGUUAGGAGUGUAAUUUUUACCAACAUAAUUAUGCAAGUAAAAGCCCUAGUGUCUGUGGAUGCAAUUAUAUCUGUAUAAAAAUGCCUUAUACUGGUAUGGCUUAUUACAUUUCCUGAAACUCAACAAGUUAUACUGGUAUAACUGCAUUCCCACUUUCAGUAUAUUGGCAUAGUUAAAUCAGCAAAACUUAGGUCCUUAGGGCAUGUCUACAUACCUUUGUUGUAUCAAUUUAACUAUAUUGGUUUAUAAAUUAUAACUAUA
Long non-coding RNA from Trachemys scripta elegans, 3565 nucleotides. RefSeq lists it as uncharacterized. NCBI's taxonomy places the organism in Eukaryota, Metazoa, Chordata, Testudines, Emydidae. The transcript is spliced from 4 exons. The record is from RefSeq and is a predicted model, not a curated record.